This is a non-coding RNA of Peromyscus maniculatus bairdii (prairie deer mouse), 1194 nucleotides long. The record is from RefSeq and is a predicted model, not a curated record. Lineage: Eukaryota; Metazoa; Chordata; Mammalia; Rodentia; Cricetidae.
AUGAUUCACCGGCGGGAAGCGCCUGGGCCGCGGGGUGUGGCCUCCGUCUCUCCCGGCCUGCCUGGCGCCUGGCCCCGGACGCGGCCAGCCGGGGACCUGCACAACGCCAGCCCGACCGUGGAGGACUGCGGGGCCGCUGCUGCCACCUUCGGACGGUUCCCGGGAUGGCGCGACCCGGUGGCAGGGGACACUCUCUUAAUUGGGCCAUCCUGCAGCCUGGCCCUGCCCCGUUGCGGUCAUGGGCUGCUUCUGAGGCAGAGAUUCACGAUUGUGAAGCAGAUGAGUAUCCUGCUUCACAGGAUAAUGGGUUUAAUGGAGAUAGAGAGAAGGCCACCAAAGUGCAGGUCAUCAAAAACAACCCGAAGGAGGCCUCUGAAACCAUUGUUGCCUCCAUGAGCAGCCCGGUGCCCCCUUCAAAGCUGGCCAAACCUGAGAACCAGUGGGCACCCUCUGAGCUGAAUGUGUAGAACUCUGACUUCCCACGUGAAUUCUACCAGCACGCCAAGGCCCUGUGGGAGGUGGAGGGAUUGCAUGCCUCCGGAUUGAGCCCAGUGCUUCCUGGACAGGGUCAGUGUGAUCGAGCAGCCUGACUAUGUGCCAAGUGACCAGGACCUGCUUCUCUGCCGAAUGCUGACCUCUGGAAUCUUUGAGACCAAGUUCCAGGUGGACAAAGUUAACUUCUACUUCUUGGAAGUGGGCAGCACCAUGAACGCGGCCGUGAUGUGACUGCCGACAUCUUGGACCACGAGGGAGGAUAACACAGACCAUACGCCCGCAGGAGGCUCUGAACCUCUUCAAGAGCAUCACAGAUGGCUGCACACUGCCUCUUCGAUCCUCUUCCUUAACAAGCAAGACCUGCUUGCUGAGAAAGUCCUCACCGGGAAAUCCAAGAUCGAGGACUACUUUGAGUUCGCCCUCCACACUCUUCUUGAGGAUGUGACUCCCCAACCUGGAGAGGACCUACGACCUCCUUGGGUUAGCAGCUACUUCAUCCGGGAUGAGUUUCUGAGAAUUAGCGUUGCUAGUGGAGAUGGGCACUACUACUGCGACCCUUACUUUACCUGUGCCCUGGACACUGAGAACAUCUUCAGUGACUGCCAUGACAUCAUCCAGUUCAUGCAUCUCUGCCAAUAGGAGCUGCUCUAAGAAGGGAACACACAAAUUUAAUUCAGCCUUAAGCACAAUUAACUAAGA